Molecule: non-coding RNA, 74 nt
Organism: Podarcis lilfordi (Lilford's wall lizard)
Lineage: Eukaryota; Metazoa; Chordata; Lepidosauria; Squamata; Lacertidae
Source: the annotation of a GenBank genome assembly
UGCUGGAUAGCUCAGUCGGUACAGCAUGAGACUCUUAGUCUCACGGUUAUAGGUUCGAGCCCCAGAUUGAGCAA